This 434-nucleotide ribosomal RNA is filed under the name Crenarctus crenatus. Its description in RNAcentral is "partial 16S ribosomal RNA". It matches the Rfam family "Bacterial large subunit ribosomal RNA", at positions 1969 to 2608 of the family's 2925-position model. The record is from RNAcentral. Lineage: Eukaryota; Metazoa; Arthropoda; Malacostraca; Decapoda; Scyllaridae.
UAGUUCUUUAAUUGGGAGCUAGAAUGAAAGGUUGAACAAAAAGUUAACUGUCUUUAAAUUAAACCUUGAAUUUAACAUUUAAGUGAAAAGGCUUAAAUAUCUUAGGGGGACGAUAAGACCCUAUAAAUCUUUAUAUUUAAACUUAUAAAAUAAAAGAAUAAAAAUAUAUUUUGUUUGAUAGGUCUAAAUAUUUUGUUGGGGCGACAAGAGUAUAAAAUGUAACUGCUUUAAAAUAAUAGUUAAAUGGUGUUUAAUUGUGUGAUCCUUUAGUAAAGAAUAUUAGUUUAAGUUACUUUAGGGAUAACAGCGUAAUUUUUUUUGAGAGUUCAUAUUGAGAAAAAAGUUUGCGACCUCGAUGUUGAAUUAAAGAUCCUUUACGGUGCAGAAGUUGUAAAAGGAGGUCUGUUCGACCUUUAAAUCUUUACAUGAUCUGA